AGAGUUUGAUCCUGGCUCAGAACGAACGCUGGCGGCGUGGCUAAGACAUGCAAGUCGAACGGACUAUUCAAUUGAGUAAUCGAGAGAAUAGUUAGUGGCGAAAGGGUUAGUAAUGGAUAGGUAACGUACCUUGUGCUCCGGGACAGCGUCGUUCGCCUUCGGGCGAACUACCGAAAGGGGCGGUAAUACCGGAUAAUAUCAUUUGUCGAUGGGCAAAUGUUCAAAGAUUUAUCGGCAUAGGAGCGGCCUAUCGCCUAUCAGCUUGUUGGUGAGGUAACGGCUCACCAAGGCGGCGACGGGUAGCGGGACUGAGAGGUUGGCCCGCAACAUCGGGACUGAGACACUGCCCGGACCUCCACGGAGGGCUGCAGUAACGAAUCUUGCGCAAUGGGCGAAAGCCUGACGCAGCGACGCCGCGUGCGGGAAGAAGUCUUUCGGGAUGUAAACCGCUGUCAGGGCUAUGAAAGUCCGCUUCGGCGGAUUGAUCUGGCCCAGAGGAAGUCACGGCUAACUUCGUGCCAGCAGCCGCGGUAAGACGAAGGUGGCGAGCGUUGUUCGGUGUUACUGGGCUUAAAGAGUGUGUAGGCGGAAAAGUAAGCGUCUUGUGAAAGCCCCCGGCUUAACCGGGGAACUGCUGGACGAACUGCUUUUCUUGAGGCAAGUAGGGGUGCAUGGAACUCUUGGUGGAGCGGUGAAAUGCGUAGAUAUCAAGAGGAACGCCAGUGGUGAAAACGGUGCACUGGGCUUGUCCUGACGCUGAGACACGAAAGCGUGGGGAGCGAACGGGAUUAGAUACCCCGGUAGUCCACGCCGUAAACGAUGUCUACUAGUUGUGGGAGUUCUGACGCUCGCACGGCCGAAGCAAAGUGUUAAGUAGACCGCCUGGGGAGUACGGCCGCAAGGCUAAAACUCAAAGGAAUUGACGGGGGCUCACACAGCGGUGGAGCAUGUGGAUUAAUUCGAAGCACGCGUAGACCUUACUGGGUUUGACAUGCUUGUAUGCCGCUUGGAAACAGUUGCUGCCCUCGGGUGAAACUGCCAGGUGCUGCAUGCUGUCUCAGCUUGUCGUGAAAUUCGUUAGUCCCUACAGCGAACCCUGCGUUA
RNAcentral lists this ribosomal RNA (1104 nucleotides) under uncultured bacterium. Its description in RNAcentral is "bacterial SSU rRNA". It matches the Rfam family "Bacterial small subunit ribosomal RNA", at positions 8 to 1110 of the family's 1533-position model. The record is from RNAcentral.